GAUGAACGCUGGCGGCGUGCCUAAUACAUGCAAGUCGAGCGAACGGACGAGAAGCUUGCUUCUCUGAUGUUAGCGGCGGACGGGUGAGUAACACGUGGAUAACCUACCUAUAAGACUGGGAUAACUUCGGGAAACCGGAGCUAAUACCGGAUGAUAUUUUGAACCGCAUGGUUCAAAAGUGAAAGACGGUCUUGCUGUCACUUAUAGAUGGAUCCGCGCUGCAUUAGCUAGUUGGUAAGGUAACGGCUUACCAAGGCAACGAUGCAUAGCCGACCUGAGAGGGUGAUCGGCCACACUGGAACUGAGACACGGUCCAGACUCCUACGGGAGGCAGCAGUAGGGAAUCUUCCGCAAUGGGCGAAAGCCUGACGGAGCAACGCCGCGUGAGUGAUGAAGGUCUUCGGAUCGUAAAACUCUGUUAUUAGGGAAGAUCAUAUGUGUAAGUAACUGUGCACAUCUUGACGGUACCUAAUCAGAAAGCCACGGCUAACUACGUG
This 497-nucleotide ribosomal RNA is filed under the name uncultured bacterium. RNAcentral's name for it is "partial 16S ribosomal RNA". It matches the Rfam family "Bacterial small subunit ribosomal RNA", at positions 28 to 507 of the family's 1533-position model. The record is from RNAcentral.